UACGAAGGGGGCUAGCGUUGCUCGGAAUCACUGGGCGUAAAGCGCACGUAGGCGGCUCCUUAAGUCAGGGGUGAAAUCCUGGAGCUCAACUCCAGAACUGCCUUUGAUACUGAGGAGCUUGAGUCCGGGAGAGGUGAGUGGAACUGCGAGUGUAGAGGUGAAAUUCGUAGAUAUUCGCAAGAACACCAGUGGCGAAGGCGGCUCACUGGCCCGGUACUGACGCUGAGGUGCGAAAGCGUGGGGAGCAAACAGG
This 253-nucleotide ribosomal RNA is filed under the name uncultured bacterium. RNAcentral describes it as "partial 16S ribosomal RNA". It matches the Rfam family "Bacterial small subunit ribosomal RNA", at positions 524 to 776 of the family's 1533-position model. The record is from RNAcentral.